GAGUAGCUUGCUACUUUGCUGACGACCGGCGCACGGGUGCGUAACGCGUAUACAAUCUACCUUUAGCUGAGGGAUAGCCCAGAGAAAUUUGGAUUAACACCUCAUGGUAUAUACUUAUGGCAUCAUAAUUAUAUUAAAGGUUACGGCUAAAGAUGAGUAUGCGUCCUAUUAGCUAGUAGGUUUGGUAACGGCAGACCUAGGCGACGAUAGGUAGGGGCCCUGAGAGGGGGAUCCCCCACACUGGUACUGAGACACGGACCAGACUCCUACGGGAGGCAGCAGUGAGGAAUAUUGGACAAUGGGCGGAAGCCUGAUCCAGCCAUGCCGCGUGCAGGAAGACUGCCCUAUGGGUUGUAAACUGCUUUUAUAUAGGAAGAAACCCCUGGUCGGGCAUCAGGGCUGACGGUACUAUAAGAAUAAGCAUCGGCUAACUCCGUGCCAGCAGCCGCGGUAAUACGGAGGAUGCAAGCGUUAUCCGGAAUCAUUGGGUUUAAAGGGUCCGUAGGUGGACAGAUAAGUCAGAGGUGAAAUCCUGCAGCUCAACUGUAGAAUUGCCUUUGAUACUGUUUGUCUUGAGUCAUUAUGAAGUGGUUAGAAUGUGUAGUGUAGCGGUGAAAUGCAUAGAUAUUACACAGAAUACCGAUUGCGAAGGCAGAUCACUAAUAAUGUACUGACACUAAGGGACGAAAGCGUGGGGAGCGAACAGGAUUAGAUACCCUGGUAGUCCACGCCGUAAACAAUGGUCACUAGCUGUUCGGCAUUUAUGCUGAGUGGCUAAGCGGAAGUGAUAAGUGACCCACCUGGGGAGUACGUUCGCAAGAAUGAAACUCAAAGGAAUUGA
This 841-nucleotide ribosomal RNA is filed under the name uncultured bacterium. Its description in RNAcentral is "bacterial SSU rRNA". It matches the Rfam family "Bacterial small subunit ribosomal RNA", at positions 73 to 913 of the family's 1533-position model. The record is from RNAcentral.